GCUAAAAUAGAGCUCAGUUGGUAGUGCAUGAGACUUUUAAUCUCAGGGUUCUGGGUUUGAGCUCCUUCUUGAGCC
Podarcis lilfordi (Lilford's wall lizard) is the source of this 75-nucleotide non-coding RNA. The record is from the annotation of a GenBank genome assembly. NCBI's taxonomy places the organism in Eukaryota, Metazoa, Chordata, Lepidosauria, Squamata, Lacertidae.